UCAAUAAUCGUUCCCUCGUCUCUAAAAAC
Molecule: small RNA, 29 nt
Filed under: Bombyx mori (domestic silkworm)
Lineage: Eukaryota; Metazoa; Arthropoda; Insecta; Lepidoptera; Bombycidae
Description: ovarian small RNA-24799
Source: RNAcentral